CUUCUGGUUCUUGUGAAAGUGACUCUGCCAUUGGAGCCACACAAUCGUCACUUUAGCUCCUGGGCCCUCCGAUUCUCACUUCAUUAAUUGGAAGCAAGAAGUAUCAGCAGAGAUCAUUCACCGGGCACGCGGAGUGAUAAAAAGCUGUUCCAGAAGGUUCGUGCCCUGCUGAUGAUCACCGUUAGUUUCUGGUAUUUCUUGACCUGUUGUGUGUGGAAGGCUCUUUGCAUUAUCCCAUUGAAUCCGUCUGACCCUGCAGCGAAGCGUGAAGAGCCUCACAGUGCUGGCUGACUCUAGAGUCUGUGGUCUCUCCUCCACCUUCUGGCCUCCGGGAUUCCCUGAGGCUCUUUGUCGGGACCUGUGGUGGAGAAAAACAUGCGUUUGGCUUGUCAGCAAUUUCAAGACCCUGCCAACUGAGACAAUCUUCCCUGAAACGGGAAGAGGAGGGUACACUGGCCAGAGGAAUUCUCCAGUUGCAGACAGGCAUAUGGCGCGAUGCUAGACUGGAACCGAGGCCCCUGCACUGAGUCUGAUUCUAGCCCCAUAGCCUUUGGGGGCUUUGGGUACAUUCUAAACUCUUUCGGAGCCUUAGUUUCCCCUUGCAUUGAAACCAAGACUUGAAAUCACGAAUCUCCAACUUCCUUUCCAGCUGCAGGAUCCUAUGGUCUAAAACGAGUUUUCUUAAACGAGUUUUCUAGCUAGGCUAAAACAAUUCGGGCUUGGGAACAAUUAUGUGAAGUCCACUAGGUUUUGAAGAGCUCAAUUUUGGUGAUGGGUAAUAAUGAGUUUAACCAAAAGUAGGAACGACGAGAGAUGGGUGGCUGAAACCGUCAUUUACUCCUCUCCCCAGAAAAAGGAUUGGCUGCGCGUCAGACAAAAUUUAGUUUCUAAGCAGCACGCCAGGAAAACCAGAUGCGUCUGGUAGCAUAGAAGGGGCAACUGCCUUGGGAUUCUUGUUCCCCUACCAUAAUCAGAUUCCCAUGGUCCCAGUGGGCAUAGCCUUAGAGUUGAGCUGGGAAUCAUAAAGCAGGGAUCGUCACCUGGCUUCAAGCUGAGGUACCUCCUACCAAGUAACCAGUAAGCGGCAUGAAUAGUUAUGGUGCUCGCAGGCAGAGGAGGGAAUAAUCAGGCCACUAUGAAGAUGCUGCAGAAGGUUAGAGGGCGUUCCGGAGAGGUGGCGGGAAGACUGGACCUUCUUUGAAGACUGAGUCGGACCCAAGUAAACGAAGAAGCGUUGGUGGCUAGGGGGACAGAAGGAGAGAGGGGACAUACUGCAGCUGGAGAAAAAAGAACAAUCCAGGUUACCACAGGCAGCGGAGAUACGGAGGUCGUCUGGAUCAGGUCCAGGGUUUGUAGGUGCUAAAGACACGCGGAGUUGUGACGAGGGAACCAGAUGAAAAAUGUUAGGGCCACCCAGUUUUUCUUUCGUCGAGUGAAAUUUGGUCACUGACAAAGAAGGUAAUAACCAAUUGGUUAUCAACUUGCUUUUUAAGAACAGUCAUUGCGCAGGGACAACUCUGGCAAGGGUGACCUUGGUAUCGUCAUAGGCAUGUGCUUGUCUUAGCCUAGUUGGCUAAUGUGAAGGUCUCCAUAGAACAUAAUGCCAUUGAAGGUGUGGUGGCAGUUGAGUCUUAGAUUUCUUUUGACAUCAGCUGCCUCCAUCGAUUCGUCGCAACGAAUCCAUACUCUCCUUCUUGAGCUCAAUGAUCUCAGAGUACAGGCCAUACUACUGAGUGAGCUGUUUGAUGCAAUUUUCACAUCUAGAAGUGUUUUGCGAUGAAUACUUCCCAUUGGGUAUAGGGAACUCCACUGGGGUCAUAUCGUUCACCCACAGGCAAUGACAAAGGUCCACUGUAGCUCUGCGAGCUGCUCUGCAGGUAGGUCCUAGCACAAUUUCAACCUCUCCCAAGGCCGCUUGUGCAUCCCAGCCAUAAAAUAGUCUGCACUAAGAUACUAUUUUCCGAAUCUCUCUAAUGUCACAAGGAUGAUUUGUCACGGUAAAGGCUAUCAACACCCAAGUAAGUUAUGACAAGGCCUCUUCAGGCUUUAGUUCGAGGUCUUCGUUAACAUUAACGUUCUUAUUUUCUCAUAGCCAACAUUUUCUAACUCGAGACCAGUUGAUUUCAGGAAUAAUCUAUGUCUGUGCAAAUCUGCCUAGCUGAGGAGAACUUCUGACAUCAGUCAUCAGUACCUUACGGAGCACUUUUCUCAUACCUAUUCCUGUCACAUAAGAUGCUAAAGUAGUAUUUUUAGAGCUUGAGAAUUGCUCUUGGGAGUCAAAACACGUAGUUAAGGGAAUAAUCCUCUAUUGCUUCCUCCCUCCCUCCCUUCAACUGCAACAACAUUGAGUGUAUAUAUUUUAGCAAGCAAGAGCUGGGGAAUCUGAGACAGGUUAUCUCCAAAUCUCUGCCUUCAAGGAAUGCAUAGCCUAAGAGAGUUAGAUCUCAAGAAAUAACUCUGUGGGCCGCAUGUCCGCUGAGUUACCCUGUCCAUCAAGAGUCAAGUAAGAGCGAUUCAAAUCCUAACCUAGAAGUAAUGGUAGCCUUGAGUCCCUUCCGGGCCUUUCAAAAUAAUUUUUUAUGGAGGGAGGGAGGUAGAAGGAGUAGGCAGGGGGUGAGGACAAUACUGACAUUCUCCCUUUUCACCUCUGGCUGCAUCUUACUGUUCCAUAUGUCACGUUCCUGCAUCACAUAGCCUGAAGUGUGGACCCUAACUUCAACCGCCCGAAACUUCGCACCUACAAGACAGUUGUUUGCGUGGUGGACUUUAUUGAACGUUUGAGAUGAUUGGAGGGAUUUCACACUGUCCAUUGCUUGCCUCCACCUCUGUAUACGCCCGAUUUCCUCACUUGUUUGGUCUUUCCACUUUAACGCAGAACAGAGAAGCUUGACAGAAUUGUAGACGGUGAAGGACGAAAUGAAGUGUGAAGGAUGAAUAGGCAGUGGCCAGGUUGGGGGGUGCUUGACAGCGGUGAGGGGGCUUUCUUUUCGUGUAAUCAGGCAAAGCCCUCCAUCUCCUGUAGCUCUCUGCUCCACGAUCUCCUAGCCAUGGACUCUGCAUUGUGUCUGCUCAAACCGGGCCAUCUACUCACGCCUCACGCUUCAGUGGUACCAAAGAACAGUAGAGGCUGAAAUGUUCUCAUUCUUUCCCAGCCCCAACCCAGUCCCUGAACAGGGAAGGGAGCACUAUAAAGAUUCACUGAUAUUGAAUUA
Molecule: long non-coding RNA, 3212 nt
Organism: Herpailurus yagouaroundi (jaguarundi)
Lineage: Eukaryota; Metazoa; Chordata; Mammalia; Carnivora; Felidae
Exons: 2
Source: RefSeq, a predicted model, not a curated record